RNAcentral lists this ribosomal RNA (376 nucleotides) under uncultured bacterium. RNAcentral describes it as "bacterial SSU rRNA". It matches the Rfam family "Bacterial small subunit ribosomal RNA", at positions 524 to 898 of the family's 1533-position model. The record is from RNAcentral.
UACAGAGAGUGCGAACGUUGUUCGGAAUCACUGGGCAUAAAGCGCACGUAGGCGGCCUUUCAAGUGUGGAGUGAAAUCCCACGGCUUACCCGUGGAACUGCUUCGCAUACUGUUUGGCUCGAGGAUGGUAGAGGAGAGCGGAACUCCUGGUGGAGCGGUGAAAUGCGUAGAUAUCAGGAGGAACACCGGUGGCGAAGGCGGCUCUCUGGUCCAUUUCUGACGCUGAGGUGCGAAAGCUAGGGUAGCGAACGGGAUUAGAUACCCCGGUAGUCCUAGCCGUAAACGAUGGGUACUAACUAGAGGUCAUUCCUGUGUGGUCUCUGGUGAAGCAAAUGUGCUAAGUACCCCGCCUGGGGAGUAUGGUCGCAAGGCUAAA